Mesocricetus auratus (golden hamster) is the source of this 285-nucleotide unclassified non-coding RNA. Its record names the gene 7SK. It matches the Rfam family "7SK RNA". From Rfam's summary of the family: 7SK was discovered as an abundant small nuclear RNA in the mid-70s but a possible function has only recently been suggested. The record is from Ensembl. NCBI's taxonomy places the organism in Eukaryota, Metazoa, Chordata, Mammalia, Rodentia, Cricetidae.
GGAUCUGAAGGCGAUCUGGGCAUGACAUAUGUCACCCCAUUGAUCGCCAUAGUUGAUUCUGCUGAUCUGACUGGCUAGGUGUUCCCUUACCCCCACACUACUCUACAUGUGUUCCCCCUGAAGCUGCAAUCUGCACCAAUGAGGAAGACCUUUCCAGCAUAGAGGAGCAAUGACUUUGGUUAAAGGGUAUACAAGUAGCUGCACUCCCCUGCUAGAAACUCCAAACAAGGAUCAAAUGGGGGAAUCACCAUCACUGACUUCAAGCUGUUCUAUAGAGCUUGGUAU